Molecule: ribosomal RNA, 1445 nt
Filed under: metagenome
Description: SSU rRNA
Rfam family: Eukaryotic small subunit ribosomal RNA
Source: RNAcentral
UUGAGAAUCAGGGUUCGAUUCCGGAGAAGGAGCUUGAGAAUUGGCUACUACAUCUAAGGAAGGCAGCAGGCGCGCAAAUUACCCAAUCCCGAUUCGGGGAGGUAGUGACAAAGAAUAACAAUACCGGGCCUUUUUGGGCUUGGUAAUUGGAAUGAGGGAGAGUUAAACGGACCAUCGAGUAUCCAUUGGAGGGCAAGUCUGGUGCCAGCAGCUGCGGUAAUACCAGCUCCAAUAGCGUAUAUUAAAGUUGUUGCAGUUAAAAAGCUCGUAGUUGGACUUGUGUGCGCUGUCCGCGGGUGGCCUGCGCCCAAAAGGGCGUUUCGGUUCGGCCCCGGUGGCGCCUUGAAAUCUGCAGCUGGGGGGACGUUGGCCUUAACUGGUCGGCGACCGCACGCCGGCUGCUCGGUUACUGUGAGAAAAUUAAAGUGUUCAAGGCAGGCAUUGGGUGCAAUUGAAUACAUUAGCAUGGAAUAAUAAAAUAUGGCUCCUGCCGUAUUUUGUUGGUUUUGACUGGUGGGAGUAAUGAUUGAUAGGGACGGUUGGGGGUGCUAGUAUUGAGCGGCCAGAGGUGAAAUUCAUGGAUUCGCUCAAGACUAACUUAUGCGAAAGCAUUCACCAAGGACGUCCUCUUUAAUCAAGAACGAAAGUUGGGGGAUCGAAGACGACCAGAUACCGUCGUAGUCUCAACCAUAAACUAUGUCGACUUGGGAUCGGCGGUAGUUUUUUCAUUAAGACACUGUCGGGACCACGGGAGAAAUCAAAGUGUCUGGACUCUGGGGGAAGUAUGGUCGCAAGGCUGAAACUUGAAGGAAUUGACGGAAGGGCACCACCAGGAGUGGAGCCUGCGGCUUAAUUUGACCCAACACGGGGAAACUUACCAGGUCCAGAGAUGUAGAGGAUUGACAGAUUGAAGCUCUUUCUUGAUCACUUCGGUGGUGGUGCAUGGCCGUUCUUAGUUGGUGGAGUGAUUUGUCUGGUUAAUUCCGUUAACGAACGAGACCUCAGCCUGCUAGUGUAGUCGGCUGGAUUGCCUUUGGCGAUCCGUGAUUUCGACUUCUUAGAGGGACAAUCGACGCGCAGUCGAUGGAAGUUUGAGGCAAUAACAGGUCUGUGAUGCCCUUAGAUGUUCUGGGCCGCACGCGCGCUACACUGCUGGGCUCAGCGAGUUUUACUUGGCCGAGAGGCCCGGUUAAUCUUGUGAAAUCCCAGCGUGCUUGGGCUCGCCUCCUGCAACUGGAGGCGCCAACGAGGAAUUCCUAGUAGACGCAGGUCAUCAACCUGCAUCGAUUACGUCCCUGCCCUUUGUACACACCGCCCGUCGUUCCAUAAGAGUGAGGCAUCCGGUGAAUUCUCGGGAGAGCCUGGGCGUGGCCAGCAAUGGUCUGCUCGGGUUUGAACUUGCAUAAACUUGGUGCCUAUGAUUAGGGAAAAGUCGUAACAAGGUU